GUAAUAGUUAUGAUCUUGAAACUUAAAAAAUUUGGCGGUAUUUUAGUCUAUUCAGAGGAACUUGUUCUUUAAUCGAUAAUCCACGAUGGACCUUACUUAAAUUAGUAAUCAGUUUAUAUACCGUCGUUAUCAGAAUAUUUUAAAAGAAUAAUAAUUUUCAUAAAUUUUUAUAUUAAUAUAUUUCAGAUCAAGGUGUAGUUUAUGUUUAAGUAGAAAUGAGUUACAAUAAAUUUAUUUAUUAUGAAUUUAAUUAUGAAAAAAUUAAUGAAAGAGGAUUUGAUAGUAAAAUUAUAAAGAA
RNAcentral lists this ribosomal RNA (298 nucleotides) under Sphyracephala detrahens. RNAcentral describes it as "partial 12S ribosomal RNA". Lineage: Eukaryota; Metazoa; Arthropoda; Insecta; Diptera; Diopsidae. The record is from RNAcentral.